GCCUGGGUGGCUCAGUCGGUUGAGCAUCCGACUUCGGCUCAGGUCAUGAUCUCGCGGUCUGUGAGUUCAAGCCCCACGUCGGGCU
Non-coding RNA from Felis catus (domestic cat), 85 nucleotides. The record is from Rfam. NCBI's taxonomy places the organism in Eukaryota, Metazoa, Chordata, Mammalia, Carnivora, Felidae.